GACGAACGCUGGCGGCGUGCCUAAUACAUGCAAGUCGAACGCACUCUCGUUUAGAUUGAAGGAGUUUGCUCCUGAUUGAUAAACAUUUGAGUGAGUGGCGGACGGGUGAGUAACACGUGGGUAACCUGCCCUAAAGUGGGGGAUAACAUUUGGAAACAGAUGCUAAUACCGCAUAAAACCUAACACCGCAUGGUGUAGGGUUGAAAGAUGGUUUCGGCUAUCACUUUAGGAUGGACCCGCGGUGCAUUAGUUAGUUGGUGAGGUAAAGGCUCACCAAGACCGUGAUGCGUAGCCGACCUGAGAGGGUAAUCGGCCACACUGGGACUGAGACACGGCCCAGACUCCUACGGGAGGCAGCAGUAGGGAAUCUUCCACAAUGGACGAAAGUCUGAUGGAGCAACGCCGCGUGAGUGAAGAAGGUUUUCGGAUCGUAAAACUCUGUUGUUGGAGAAGAAUGUAUCUGAUAGUAACUGAUCAGGUAGUGACGGUAUCCAACCAGAAAGCCACGGCUAACUACGUG
This 520-nucleotide ribosomal RNA is filed under the name uncultured bacterium. RNAcentral describes it as "partial 16S ribosomal RNA". It matches the Rfam family "Bacterial small subunit ribosomal RNA", at positions 28 to 507 of the family's 1533-position model. The record is from RNAcentral.